AGCAGCCGCGGUAAUUCCAGCUCCAAUAGCGUAUAUUAAAGUUGUUGCAGUUAAAAAGCUCGUAGUUGAAUUUCGGGAUCAAUAUGUUGGUCGUGCCUUGGUACGUACUGGCGUCAUUGGUUUCUACCUUCUGAAGAACCUCGAUGUCAUUAAUUUGGUGUCUUGGGGAAUCAGGACUGUUACUUUGAAAAAAUUAGAGUGUUUAAAGCAAGCUCACGCUUGAAUACAUUAGCAUGGAAUAAUGAAAUAGGACGUUUGAUUCUAUUUUGUUGGUUUCUAGGAUCGACGUAAUGAUUAAUAGGGAUAGUUGGGGGCAUUAGUAUUCAAUUGUCAGAGGUGAAAUUUUUGGAUUAUUGAAGACUAACUACUGCGAAAGCAUUUGCCAAGGAUGUUUUCAUUAAUCAAGAACGAAAGUUAGGGGAUCGAAGACGAUCAGAUACCAUCGUAGUCUUAACCAUAAAACUAUGCCGACUAGGGG
Molecule: ribosomal RNA, 478 nt
Filed under: uncultured Glomus
Lineage: Eukaryota; Fungi; Glomeromycota; Glomeromycetes; Glomerales; Glomeraceae
Description: SSU rRNA
Rfam family: Eukaryotic small subunit ribosomal RNA
Source: RNAcentral